ACGGGGAGCAGCCCAGAGCCUGAAUCAGUGUGUGUGUUAGUGGAAGCGUCUGGAAAGGCGCGCGAUACAGGGUGACAGCCCCGUACACAAAAAUGCACAUGCUGUGAGCUCGAUGAGUAGGGCGGGACACGUGGUAUCCUGUCUGAAUAUGGGGGGACCAUCCUCCAAGGCUAAAUACUCCUGACUGACCGAUAGUGAACCAGUACCGUGAGGGAAAGGCGAAAAGAACCCCGGCGAGGGGAGUGAAAAAGAACCUGAAACCGUGUACGUACAAGCAGUGGGAGCACGCUUAGGCGUGUGACUGCGUACCUUUUGUAUAAUGGGUCAGCGACUUAUAUUCUGUAGCAAGGUUAACCGAAUAGGGGAGCCGAAGGGAAACCGAGUCUUAACUGGGCGUUAAGUUGCAGGGUAUAGACCCGAAACCCGGUGAUCUAGCCAUGGGCAGGUUGAAGGUUGGGUAACACUAACUGGAGGACCGAACCGACUAAUGUUGAAAAAUUAGCGGAUGACUUGUGGCUGGGGGUGAAAGGCCAAUCAAACCGGGAGAUAGCUGGUUCUCCCCGAAAGCUAUUUAGGUAGCGCCUCGUGAAUUCAUCUCCGGGGGUAGAGCACUGUUUCGGCAAGGGGGUCAUCCCGACUUACCAACCCGAUGCAAACUGCGAAUACCGGAGAAUGUUAUCACGGGAGACACACGGCGGGUGCUAACGUCCGUCGUGAAGAGGGAAACAACCCAGACCGCCAGCUAAGGUCCCAAAGUCAUGGUUAAGUGGGAAACGAUGUGGGAAGGCCCAGACAGCCAGGAUGUUGGCUUAGAAGCAGCCAUCAUUUAAAGAAAGCGUAAUAGCUCACUGGUCGAGUCGGCCUGCGCGGAAGAUGUAACGGGGCUAAACCAUGCACCGAAGCUGCGGCAGCGACGCUUAUGCGUUGUUGGGUAGGGGAGCGUUCUGUAAGCCUGUGAAGGUGUGCUGUGAGGCAUGCUGGAGGUAUCAGAAGUGCGAAUGCUGACAUAAGUAACGAUAAAGCGGGUGAAAAGCCCGCUCGCCGGAAGACCAAGGGUUCCUGUCCAACGUUAAUCGGGGCAGGGUGAGUCGACCCCUAAGGCGAGGCCGAAAGGCGUAGUCGAUGGGAAACAGGUUAAUAUUCCUGUACUUGGUGUUACUGCGAAGGGGGGACGGAGAAGGCUAUGUUGGCCGGGCGACGGUUGUCCCGGUUUAAGCGUGUAGGCUGGUUUUCCAGGCAAAUCCGGAAAAUCAAGGCUGAGGCGUGAUGA
RNAcentral lists this ribosomal RNA (1270 nucleotides) under Escherichia coli. RNAcentral describes it as "partial 23S ribosomal RNA". It matches the Rfam family "Bacterial large subunit ribosomal RNA", at positions 290 to 1569 of the family's 2925-position model. Lineage: Bacteria; Pseudomonadati; Pseudomonadota; Gammaproteobacteria; Enterobacterales; Enterobacteriaceae. The record is from RNAcentral.